RNAcentral lists this ribosomal RNA (439 nucleotides) under uncultured bacterium. RNAcentral describes it as "partial 16S ribosomal RNA". It matches the Rfam family "Bacterial small subunit ribosomal RNA", at positions 339 to 795 of the family's 1533-position model. The record is from RNAcentral.
CUACGGGCCGCAGCAGUGAGGAAUAUUGCACAAUGGGGGGAACCCUGAUGCAGCAACGCCGCGUGGAGGAUGACGCAUUUCGGUGUGUAAACUCCUUUUAUAUGUCAAGAAAAUGACGGUAGCAUAUGAAUAAGCACCGGCUAACUCCGUGCCAGCAGCCGCGGUAAUACGGAGGGUGCAAGCGUUACUCGGAAUCACUGGGCGUAAAGGACGCGUAGGCGGGUUGGAAAGUCAGGUGUGAAAUCCUACAGCUUAACUGUAGAACUGCACUUGAAACUUCUAAUCUAGAGUAUGGGAGGGGGGGAUGGAAUUAGUGGUGUAGGGGUAAAAUCCGUAGAUAUCACUAGGAAUACCUAAAGCGAAGGCGAUCUCCUGGAACAUAACUGACGCUAAGGCGUGAAAGCGUGGGGAGCAAACAGGAUUAGAUACCCGAGUAGUC